UGAGGACGUGUUAGAAAGUUUCCAGUCUGCCUUGAAAGUGUAUAGAAUGAUUCUUAUCGCAAUUUAUGCACCUGUUGUUUUCCCUGCAUGGGAAUUCGGGAGAGUUCCUAUGUCCUCCCCUACAUUCUAGACAUCUUUCUGCGGAUCUACAGAACUUGGUGGUGUGUCCGAAGCGGUCACAUUCGUAGUAAAGUCGGACCGCCGGUAUAUAGGGCGAGACGUUGAUUCUAGCUUUCCAGAUGAGGAUGGUGUCUGCCCCGGCGUAUACAACCCUCACCAAUUAUACACUCAAAUAGUUAAUUUAUAAGACUAUUAAAAAAAUUUGUUUAUUCAUCGACACCAAAACUAUGUAAUCCACACAGACAAAUUGUAAUACUAUAGCGAUCACGGGUCGGUUAGGCUAAGUUCCUAGACCAUGUACUCCUUUUUAUACACCCUUUACUUGCAAUAAAAAAAAAUGAGGUCAUGAUUGAUCGUUUCGCUCUGUAGACUUAGAUCAGGACACACUUCUUUGAAUGAGGGUCUUUUUAAAUUGAGAAUAGUUGACUCUCCCAACUGUCCUCAAUGUAAUGUUCUAGAGUCGGCUGAUCACGUGAUUUGGCAAUGCCCUCGUUUCGAAAAUCAGAGAAAUAUUCUGAUAAAGAAUGGGGAAUGUCCAUUUUCCGAACCCUGCCUUGGCCGGUGCACUCCUUGCUGACGACUAAAGACCUCAAUAGCUAUUCUCUGUUAGGCUAUUUUAUAAAUGGAAUCAAUAUAACUUUUUCCUAUAUGUAUACUUUUAGGUGAACCAUUAUCUUUAAGUCAAAAACCUUUUCAGUCUAUAAGCUAUCUCUAUUCUGGUGUAAUAGUAAAAGUAAUAUAAGUAAUAUAAGUAAUAUAGGUAAUAUAAGUAACUUAAGUCUAAGUUGAAAGUGAAUUUUAUUUGUAAUAUCUAGACUUUCUAUAUAAAAUACUGACGAAGGUACAAAAUAGUCUAUAUCCUCUGACCAAUCCGGUCACAGUAGCGAUCAACUAAACCAAAUAGUUGCGUAGCUAAUUCAUUUAAAUUCGCGUGCGAUCUAUAUAAAUAAUCUACACAGGCACGUACCCAUCUUAUUUGGAUUUUCAUUCAUACUUUUUUCUGUUACAUGUAUUUUUCUUUUUAAUUUGAUUUUUGUGAAGACUGGUUGACUUGUAAUCUAAGAAUCAUCUACGACUUAUUCUGAAAAGAAUUAUUUUCUUUCUUUCGGCUAUUCUGGGAACACCCAAGUGGUACUAUAAGCGAUGGCGAAAACAGCUUUGUAUUUCUUCCCUUCUUCUUUUCUUUUUAAUCGCUAAAACUUUAUCCGUCUCCUGGCGUGUAUUGUACUCUUUAGAUAUUUACUCAUUCAAUACAUAGAACUAUAAAAAUUGUUUAUUUACUGGUAUCAAAAGAAAUAUAUUUACCUGUCAAAAAUGUAAUACUCUGACACCCAUCGGUCGGAUAGGCUUAAAUCCUAGACCAUGUACAUACCUUUUGUACGCCAUUUACUUUUAAUAAAAAAAAAAUGAGGUCGUGAUAUGACUAAA
Long non-coding RNA from Dinoponera quadriceps, 1548 nucleotides. RefSeq lists it as uncharacterized. The transcript has 2 exons. NCBI's taxonomy places the organism in Eukaryota, Metazoa, Arthropoda, Insecta, Hymenoptera, Formicidae. The record is from RefSeq and is a predicted model, not a curated record.